UACGGGGGGAGCAAGCGUUGUUCGGAUUUACUGGGCGUAAAGGGCGCGUAGGCGGCCACCGCAAGUCAGUUGUGAAAUCUCUGGGCUUAACCCAGAACGGUCAGCUGAUACUGCGGGGCUAGAGUGCAGAAGGGGCAACUGGAAUUCUCGGUGUAGCGGUGAAAUGCGUAGAUAUCGAGAGGAACACCUGCGGCGAAGGCGGGUUGCUGGGCUGUUCUUGACGCUGAGGCGCGAAAGUGUGGGGAGCGAACCGG
RNAcentral lists this ribosomal RNA (254 nucleotides) under uncultured bacterium. RNAcentral describes it as "partial 16S ribosomal RNA". It matches the Rfam family "Bacterial small subunit ribosomal RNA", at positions 524 to 776 of the family's 1533-position model. The record is from RNAcentral.